UACAGAGGGCUCAAGCGUUGUUCGGAUUCAUUGGGCGUAAAGGGUGCGUAGGCGGCGCCGUAAGUCAGGUGUGAAAUUUCGAGGCUUAACCUCGAAACUGCAUUUGAUACUGCGGUGCUUGAGGACUGGAGAGGAGACUGGAAUUCAUGGUGUAGCAGUGAAAUGCGUAGAGAUCAUGAGGAAGACCAGUGGCGAAGGCGGGUCUCUGGACAGUUCCUGACGCUGAGGCACGAAGGCCAGGGGAGCAAACGGG
Molecule: ribosomal RNA, 253 nt
Filed under: uncultured bacterium
Lineage: Bacteria
Description: partial 16S ribosomal RNA
Rfam family: Bacterial small subunit ribosomal RNA
Source: RNAcentral